This 254-nucleotide unclassified non-coding RNA is filed under the name fungal sp. Its description in RNAcentral is "partial internal transcribed spacer region". The stretch from base 1 to 46 matches the Rfam family "Eukaryotic small subunit ribosomal RNA", at positions 1786 to 1831 of the family's 1831-position model. Lineage: Eukaryota; Fungi. The record is from RNAcentral.
AAGUCGUAACAAGGUUUCCGUAGGUGAACCUGCGGAAGGAUCAUUAAGAAUGACAAUAAUGGAAUAGGUGGAUAGGUUGAACAAGGUGUGGGGAGAAGAGAGCGUGCGUGUGGCAGGAUGGCAAGUAUUUGCUAUGCUGCUGCCAGCAUACCCUCCUCCCCCCCCCAACACUAACUAGCAAUACUAUCAAUCAAGCCAAUCAACGAUCUAGUUUAAAACAAUAAAAACUUGCAACAAUGGAUCUCUUGGCUCUU